Molecule: ribosomal RNA, 253 nt
Filed under: uncultured bacterium
Lineage: Bacteria
Description: partial 16S ribosomal RNA
Rfam family: Bacterial small subunit ribosomal RNA
Source: RNAcentral
UACGGGGGGGGCAAGCGUUGUUCGGAAUUACUGGGCGUAAAGGGCUCGUAGGUGGCCAACUAAGUCAGACGUGAAAUCCCCAGGCUCAACUUGGGAACUGCGUCUGAUACUGGAUGGCUUGAAUUCGGGAGAGGGAUGCAGAAUUCCAGGUGUAGCGGUGAAAUGCGUAGAUAUCUGGAGGAAUACCGGUGGCGAAGGCGGCAUCCUGGACCGACAUUGACGCUGAGGAGCGAAAGCUAGGGGAGCAAACGGG